CACAUGCAUCUCAUCAGCAGUUUGGCUGCAGGAGAAAAUGAACCAUUAAGAUUUCAUUUCUUGCCUAUGAAUCACUUUUAGAGAAUCCUCUGCCUUCAUCACUUUGAGACAAAGCCAUAAGAUGAAUAAUUUGCCCUCUACUAUUGGAGAUAAUAGCCAAGACAUCCAUCUUCCCUUCUAAGACUAAGAGCUCGAGCAGUGAUGCCAAUCUUCAGCCUAUAAAGUGUCUGAAAUGAGUUCCAGUUCUAAGGACACGAAGGGAACAGCCUGCACAGUUCUUGUAAUUGCUGUUCCUAAGCAUGCUUUGCUGAUAUGGAAACAUGAUCAAUCAUGAUUCAAACAGGUGUGUGCACAUGCUCCAGACUAACAGCAUCUGUU
Long non-coding RNA from Passer domesticus (house sparrow), 378 nucleotides. RefSeq lists it as uncharacterized. The record is from RefSeq and is a predicted model, not a curated record. NCBI's taxonomy places the organism in Eukaryota, Metazoa, Chordata, Aves, Passeriformes, Passeridae. The transcript is spliced from 3 exons.